CAUUGACAGUAUUGUAUUGACACUUGUUGGUUUACAAAUACAAUAAAAUGAAUUCUAAUAAAAGAAACAGUAGACUCAGUAGAGGUACGAGGUACUGAAAAAAUAUUAAUUAAUGGAGAAGCCGAAGUUGGAGGAAAACAAGAAGAUUCGAGGAGAAUGGUGUGGCACUUAAUGCCGCCGGGACAGUAACCUAGCUGCAGCUCCAACUCUAGGGAAUUGGGCUGAAUGAACGCAACACGUGAUCGACAGCCCACCUGCUUCCUGCCGAGCGUCCCUACACUACAUCUACAUGGAUUCGCUUAUUCUGCUCUACAAAACUUCUGAGCUGAUACAAGCAGCCAGAAUGAGUCUCUGCUGAGUCGCCGGCGCCGGACGUGCGUCGCGCGCCUCGGGCGACUGACGUCUUCGUGUGAGUCGCCAAUUGCAGGGGAAGAUACGAAUAGUUAGGUAUAAA
Long non-coding RNA from Cydia fagiglandana, 454 nucleotides. RefSeq lists it as uncharacterized. The record is from RefSeq and is a predicted model, not a curated record. NCBI's taxonomy places the organism in Eukaryota, Metazoa, Arthropoda, Insecta, Lepidoptera, Tortricidae. The transcript has 3 exons.